GGACAACUAGCCAUUAUUACAUUUAAAAAAAAUUAAAAAAUGUACACAUUUAUUUUGGGAUUGCACCCCUGUAAAUGUAAUUUGCGUGUUGACGCACGAGUGGAAGAGUGUCUCAUUUCAUGCAAGCACAUUUGUUUCCACAUUUUCUCUCCUUCCCUUCCAUCUUCUCCUCGAUUACCUUUGAACUUGUUCAAAAAGAGGCGGGAGAGAACGGAGGAAGGAGGAGUUAGCUAAACCAAUUGAGCAUCUCCCUGAGAGGGAGACUGAGAAAGUGAUUGAGUGAAAAGGAGAGUGGGAGAACCGAAAACAGGGUGGGAAAGAGAGAUGCACAGAAAAAGAGAGAGAAAGAAGCCAGGCUUGGCAAACAGAGUGAAGAGGGGAGGCUUUAAAAGAGAGGGAUUCCAAAAUGAUGGCCGUCUUCUCCAUUUUACUGGCUUGAUCCCAGGAUGGACACGGGAUGUGAAGAGAGCAGGUGGCUGACAGGCUCACAGCGACAGUAGGACCCUUGGCAGGCAGAGAGGUCGCUGAGCUCUGAGAACAACAGUUAGUUGGGUGGGUGAGUAACAUUGUGUUCAUGUUUGUUGGAUGAGUUCUAGAAUAGAACACUAGUAGACUGGUUAGAUGUUGUUACGUAUUUCUUACAGUCAUUUAUUGUUGCUAGAUAAUGAUUGCUGUAAUGAAUUGUGCAUGCAAAAUUUUAUCAUUUUCCUAUACUGUCUAAUAUUGUAAUGUGUUAUGUUUUCUUUAUGUUGACGUGAAGAGAAUAGUAUCUAAAGAUAUUAUAUUAUUCUUAUAAAGUUACUGCAGUUCUUCUUCACAGUUCUACAGUUAAGAGGUAGUGUCCAAAGUGUGGAGGAUGAUGUCACACGUCAGCUGUCCUCAUAGCUGGGCUACCAUGGCAACGACAUUCAUCAGAAUGACUUCCUGCUAAAGCAAAGUACUGUCACGAUCACAUUCUGUACUGACAGAUCACUUUAUACUGAUAAUUAUUGUGUUUGUGUAAGGUUAAGCAUAGAAAUGCUAAGCCAAACGAGUGGACUGUCUUUGUAAAUUUACUUGUCAUCCAUGUCACAACUGCUGCACAGAGUUUCUAAAUAAGCAAAGUAUCCUCCAAAAUCUUUGCUGCUGCCGUGCAUCCACUGCAUCCCUACUGUCCGGCAGGGAAAGUCUUCCCCCAGAGGCUGGUUUCACAUGGUGGUUUAGAUUAAUGUUCCCAGUGUCUAGCACCAUUUGAAAUCAGUGUUCUUGGGGACAGGAGAACAGCACUGUGCCUCUGGUAGUGUCAGUCUACUGGAGCCAUCCUCUCUCUCUCCCCUUUAAAGGAUGACUGAUUUCCUCUGGUGUUUAGAGCCCCUUACAGCCUUCUAGCACCAUUUGAAAUCGGUUAUAAUAACUGGGGAUCAAUGCCUCGAUGUCUUCACGAUGUCUACAUGUCAACUCUACAGUCAAGCAGACAGGAAAUGAAUUGGAUGAAUGUUCAUAUGGUACGUGUCACAGGGUUCUGCUCCACAGAUCCUGGAAUCGAAAUGAGUUGGACGGGAGCUCAUUUCCAGUGGGACAGUUUUAAAGUUUUUAUUGAAUAAAUGUUCAAUAAAACUGAAUUGAUAUUGCAUACUUAUCUUACUUUUUCCUGUGUGUAUGUUAUCACAUUUGUGUCCGUGGUUCUGAACCUGCAUGUGAACUAUAUAACCCUGUUCUGCUAGGUAUAAAACUUAUCCGAGCUCAAGGGAUCAUAACAAGUCUUUUCACAAUACCCUCACUCAUAACAGAUUUAAUCACUGUUAUAUCUAGAAGCACUCAACACAAUCCAACACUUACUUUAUAACGUGAUAAUGGAAACAGGAAAGGCCUUUUAUUGCAGGACUUGUCCCAGACACUGCACAGAACCACAGAAGAUAGCGUCUACUGAGUACGGAAUCUUAAACCGGGAAAGUUCCUGUUCUGUAAUGUGGAUGAAUGAGUUCCAAGGAAGCCUGAUGUUCUCAAUAAGGUUUUAAAGUUGUGGAAGUUUAUCUUAUCUCUGCUCAGUGUCCCUGUCGCCUGUGUUACCAUGUCACUCUCCGGGUCUGACAAGACAUGCAGUGCACAACUGGCAUCUAUUCAUUUAGUGUGUUGUUAGGUGUAGAUAAAGGUGUGGUUGGAUAGGGCGACGGCAUUGAUGGUGGUUAGCAUGGUAGUAUGAACAUGAUCAUGGAUUUGAACUUGGAGACCAUCCCAGAGAAUGCAGUUGAACUGGGAGAGGAAGAGGAGGAGGCAAAGGAAGAAAAAUAAGUGCCUCUCCACAUUCAAGCGCUCCAGUAGUACAACUUGGACCCGAGGUCAUUCUGUGUACAUGAUUAUUAGCUGAGAUACUAUGCAAUUUCAACUCACAUCAUUCUUUUAGAACCUGCCAUUAUUCCAUAAUGAGCUAUUUCCCUCAAAUCAAUGGGGUUUUAAUGGAGCCUAGUUGUCCUAGCAUCUCUCCCAUUGCCCUAGGGCACUGCAGUAGUACACUUUUCCUUUCACCUUGGUGGCCUUGUAUGAGUCAAAUGCAAACAGACAUCAAUGCCACCAAUAUAUUACCUGACUGUAUGGGCGUUUCAACCCCCAUAGGUGAGCUUUUCACAGGUGGUUGGUGGUACCCUAAUUGGGGAAGACACGCUCGUUGUAAUUGUUGGAAUGGAAUGACUGGUAAGAAACACAUCAAACCUGUGUUAUUAUGAGCCAUUCUUCCCUCACCAGCCUCCUGUGGAGCCUGUAUUGGCUAGGUUGAAGACAAAAUAGGUAAGGACAAGUUGCAUUCAUGAAAUUAAACAGAUUCCUGUUUAUUCUAGUUGAUAACAAGCAUCGCCUGG
Molecule: long non-coding RNA, 2834 nt
Filed under: Salmo salar (Atlantic salmon)
Lineage: Eukaryota; Metazoa; Chordata; Actinopteri; Salmoniformes; Salmonidae
Description: lncRNA (ENSSSAG00000099922.1)
Rfam family: mir-29 microRNA precursor family (bases 1177-1246)
Source: RNAcentral